RNAcentral lists this long non-coding RNA (554 nucleotides) under Cucumis sativus (cucumber). RNAcentral's name for it is "long non-coding RNA (CSAT_LNC001265)". The record is from RNAcentral. Lineage: Eukaryota; Viridiplantae; Streptophyta; Magnoliopsida; Cucurbitales; Cucurbitaceae.
UUUACCGUUUCUUAGAUUCAUGAUUACGAAUUGGGAACUAUGUUGUUUCAGAUCCUCGAAAUAGUGGGGACUUCGUCAAGAACCGCAAUAAUGUGAGAAAAACUUCAAAUGGCAAUCAAAACCCUACAAGGUGUAACCAACAAACCACUCGAGAGGUUAAUGUGCUUUCUAAGGAAAAUAAGACUCAAAUGAAGGAACAAGUUGUGAAGCCAAAUAAUAAGCCAUCCUCAAACACAAAUUCUGGGCUCUUGAGGGCACAGAAGCUAAGCACAGAACAGAAGGACAACCAUGAGAAGUUCCAGCGCAAAUUGGAAAAACCUACAAUCCCAAAGAGGAAUCAGCAAGAUGUAAGUACAGGAAUAUCCAGAUCGUAACUUGUAAAGUAAUUUGGUUUGACAUGUGCACUUUUACCUGAUUUGUUUGAUUUAUGUUUACCAGAACUUCAAGUGCUCAGAUGAGGUCGCAGUUCAAGUGAAACUAGAAGCUACAAAAAGGAAACUCCAAGAGAGUUACCAACAAGCUGAAAACGGUAUUUGUUUAGUUUUCCAUCCGUG